UGGGGAACCUGCCCCAUAGUCUGGGAUACCACUUGGAAACAGGUGCUAAUACCGGAUAAGAAAGCAGAUCGCAUGAUCAGCUUUUAAAAGGCGGCGUAAGCUGUCGCUAUGGGAUGGCCCCGCGGUGUAUUAGCUAGUUGGUAAGGUAAAGGCUUACCAAGGCGAUGAUGCAUAGCCGAGUUGAGAGACUGAUCGGCCACAUUGGGACUGAGACACGGCCCAAACUCCUACGGGAGGCAGCAGCU
RNAcentral lists this ribosomal RNA (245 nucleotides) under uncultured Lactobacillus sp. RNAcentral's name for it is "partial 16S ribosomal RNA". It matches the Rfam family "Bacterial small subunit ribosomal RNA", at positions 118 to 355 of the family's 1533-position model. The record is from RNAcentral. Lineage: Bacteria; Bacillati; Bacillota; Bacilli; Lactobacillales; Lactobacillaceae.